UGCCUGGCAAUAUUAUUUUAAAGGGUCAUUAAAACCUCUGGUUUCAGGGCUGAGACUAACCUUUAAUAAAAUAUGUACAGACACUUAUCUCCUGCUUUGGAGGGUAUAUUUGCCAAAAACACUGGUGCCUGCUAGCUGUUGUCAGAAAAGGAGAAGCCACAUUGCAUGGACUUUCUUUUACAGUGCUGUCUUGUCUGUACUCCUACUCCCUAAAUCUGAGCAGACAUUGAGAUAAAAUAUUUGGCAUUAUUCAAAAAGGAACGGGUAAAUCUGUAGAUAACAAAAAUAUCCCAUAUCUCAUUGAAAAGGAAAUCAAAACCUUUGCUUACAGGGUUGUGAUUCUGCACUAGAUAAAUCAAGAUCUUCAUAUAUAUACGUUAUUGUACAGCAGAAGACUCCCUAAAAGGCUCACAGAUGGUCUAUAUAUAGGCAGAGCAACUGUAACAGGACCAGUUUAAGAUUAGGACAUGGCUGGCUGAAGGGGAAUUUCAUUUUUUGCAUGACAUUCCCCAAACAUCAGAGAACAUAAAGGAAACACUAAUUUGUUUCCAUGGGCUUUGGCCCAUAAAAACUUGUGACCAGAAUCACCUGAACGAUGUUCCAGCCUAUUCUCCUUGCCAAUGCUGCAUGUCCCCUCUCACAGAGCUGUUGUGGUGACAGGCCUUACAUUAUUUUACAUUAUCUCUGAUGUCAUCUGAUUGGUCUAAUUGGAGCUGACUGGAUCUCUGAUCUAUUAGGACUACACAUCUCUGUCUUCACACCUCUCUUGGCCACAGUAGCUGCUAAAAAGAGCCUUAGGGACAACUGACAUUCUUGACUGCCAGCCCAAACAUCUCAGCUGGAAGGAAGACUAUUUCCCAAAUGACAUCCCCUCCCCCAUGAAGGCUUUUGGCAGUCACCCUGCUGCCAUCUCCAGUCAAGAACAUCUGGCUGUAGGAUCAGACAGCAGCAGAGCCCUCUGACCCCUGAUCCUGGCUGCCCUCUCCCUACCCCUAAAAGGGGGGCUGCCAUUGUCUACCGAAUUGCCUGGUGGCCUCAGGCUGAUUCCCAGGACCGUCCUCCCACCUGGUGCUGGCUGGAUGUAAGUCAGGGGCUGAGUGAGUGAGGCACAGAGCCAGCUACAAGGCAGCUUCCCCUGCAGGAUGCUCUGGGAUCCUCUCCAUACACGUUGGCAGGACCAGAAUCCCACUGCCCACGUUGCAUAGUGCCACAUGUCAGGUGGUCCCAGGCAGGGCUCUUGUCCUUGCCAAAGCAUCGUCAGCCACUUAGCACUUUGUAGUGCAAAGGUGACACUGGGCCAAAGUCUGCCCUUAGUGUGUUGGUGAAAAGGCAGAACAACUACACUGAAGUCACUGCAGUCCAUUUGUGUGUGACCAGGAAGGCGGUUUGCACACCUGCAUUUGUAUCCUUGCCACAGAGAAAUUUCUGGCUUUGCAUCCCCACCCAGAAAAACAAGAGACAAGGGAAUUAAUGUCAUUUUCCAGGUGGCUCACGAAAAGCAAAAUUCCCUCAUCCAGCUCAGCUUGUUAUCUGCUUGUUAUACAAGCUGCAUUUAAACAAUUAUAUUUAAAUAACCAAAAAGAAAAAAGAAAAAAUCUGCUCUCAGAGUCCUAGCCACAAAGUUUCCUCCAGAGCCCUUCCCAUUGUGUUUUGGAGGCCCUACACCUCCCCCUCCUCCUUGCCUUCGUUAACUGGAGUCCAUCUGCUGCGUCCAGCCUGCUGCAGCUUGGGGAAUCUCACGUCACUCCUGUCUCGGCUAGAGAUGAGCCUGAGCUGCAGAUUUUUGGACAGAGAUGCCUGUGUUUGUUUCCCAGUGCGGGAGGAGGGGGUGAGUCUUCUCAACUUUGCCCCAGUUCCUUAAAAACAAAAGGCCAGCAGUGAAAGGUGGCUGUGGCUGUGGGCCUGGUGAUGCCUAGCUUGGCUACCUCCUCCUCACCCCGCUCUGCACGGCCCCAUCCCAGCUCUCCAUGGUAAUGGGUUGCUGUGUCACAGCUGGGUAUCUGUGGCAUCACUGCUGCAACGCUUCCAUCACCAACGGGCAGCUCACAAUCAAGCCAGCAGCUCUCCUCCACCCCUCCCAGGACUGCAAACGCAGGGCAGCCUCUCUGCUGUCUGUCCUGCCUGCACUGCAUGGGAAAUGAAGAGACGGACAGACAGGCAGCCCCCCGCGACAGGGAAGAAAGGAAUCGAUAGUCCUCUGGAGGGCUGGUAUAAUUCAGCUGUAAACAUUUCAACCUUCCGAUCAAGAUGGGAACAGCAGUAUGUGACUCAGACACCACCAUCCUGAGCAGUCAAGGAAGACUUUAUGAGUUAGUGCAGCUGAGCUCCAUAAGCAAUGAGCAGUGUGUCAGCAGAAAGCAGGAUCAAAUCAGAAACAGCAAACAAAGGGACAGAGAAGAAAACGAUCACAUUUGUAACUGAUGCCAAGCUUUGGACUCUGAGCUGUCACCUCCAGCCUCCCAUGCGUGGUGGCAAUGCACCUGACGCUACCAAACAAAAGGACAGUCUGGCCUGUGCUCCCCUGCGCAGCACAGCGCACGUGCUGUAGGCGUGUAACACUCUGCAGAACCGCUAAGUAUUGGCAACGAGAGGGAACAUCUUGUCUUUUCCAGCUGUAACUCUUGCAAAUCCAUGGGAAACUUUCCUUCUCAAACAUCUCUCUUGGUCGGCUAUAGUUUUUCUUGCUGGCUGGUUUACAUUUCUGUGUGCAGAUAGUUCCAAAGCUGCUGCUUUAGCUACCCUCCAUUUUGGUAUCAAGCCACAUAUUUUAAACCCUCUAAUAUUUGUAAUUAAUAUAAACACGGGUCGCACAUGUAUUUAUAUGUGCUAAAUGCCAAAUUGGCGCGUGUCCUCCUGGCUCAGACGGGGCCUGGAGACUUCCCUGCGGGUGUCCCUGCGGGUUGAAGGGAUCGCUUCCAUCUCAAACAACUCCUGGACCGGCUCCUGGACAGGCUCCUGGACAGCCUCACAGCACCUGCGCUUUGUCAAAAAGGGACCUCAGGACCAUGUGCUGGCACUUAGGUGGUGGCUGUGAAGCGGGGAGCGAGCGCUGCCUCCUGUCCCCUGCCCCACCACUGCCUCAGUGCUGGCAGGUGGCGCAGCCUCAAGGCCUGCAGGCACUGGCCCACUGUAGGCCGGCUCCCAAGCCCCUGUCACCUCCCGUAUACAACAUCAAUGUGUGCCCAUUGCCAAGGCCACAACUGCUCUGCCUGCACUGGGGUGCAGCCUAACACCCCAAACAGAUAAGAAAUUGGCCCUAUCUCUUGCUGUCUCCCUCUUUCUCUGUCCUUCUCAGGCUUCCCCCACCAAAGUGCCCGAGCACCUCCCAGACCAAACAGCUGUCUGACAAGCCUUCUCCCCGGGGCUCCUAGGUUUUGGAUGCUUUCGGAUCCACUUCCUCAUUCUGCAUUGCUCCCCACAUAUCAUCUCUGAGCAGCAGACUCUCUGGAUCCGGCACUUGAGCACUGUGCUUGCAACAUAUUUGGAACCUGCGCUCCUAAGUCACAUGGAUGAAUUAUUGCUUUGCUUUUUCUGGGAAACUAAUACUAUCGAACGGUCACUCCAGUGUACGUCACAAGCACUACUGGCAGGGAAUAUGUAGGUACUUCAGAUUUAUGUGGCUGUAACUGAAAGCAGAACUUGGCCAUAUUCUGCCUGACUAAUGAAAAGACAUAGCCACAAAGGGCUUUUGUAUGAACCUGGCUCCUAGAAGUUAUGGCAAUAAAAGAAGCAAUGCUAUCAUUUGUUAAUUCUAAUUAUUUCAAGAGUCAGCCAUGGAAGGCUGUUCUUAAAGGGAUGUGCUGAACAAAAAUGUAUAAAUAGAAAAUAGCAGUUCUUUUACCAGCAGAAUAAGGACAAUAU
Cygnus olor (mute swan) is the source of this 3861-nucleotide long non-coding RNA. RefSeq lists it as uncharacterized. The record is from RefSeq and is a predicted model, not a curated record. NCBI's taxonomy places the organism in Eukaryota, Metazoa, Chordata, Aves, Anseriformes, Anatidae. The transcript is spliced from 3 exons.